This 77-nucleotide transfer RNA is filed under the name Micromonospora saelicesensis. RNAcentral's name for it is "tRNA_Ile_GAT". It matches the Rfam family "tRNA". Rfam says of the family: Transfer RNA (tRNA) molecules are approximately 80 nucleotides in length. Their secondary structure includes four short double-helical elements and three loops (D, anti-codon, and T loops). Lineage: Bacteria; Bacillati; Actinomycetota; Actinomycetes; Micromonosporales; Micromonosporaceae. RNAcentral also lists the same sequence under 8 other names. The record is from RNAcentral.
GUCGUCGUGGCCAAGCUGGUUAAGGCACUGCGCUGAUAACGCAGAGAUCGUGGGUUCAACUCCCUCCGACGACACCA